This is an RNA transcript of Spinacia oleracea (spinach), 8473 nucleotides long. It is a transcript of the gene named general transcription factor IIH subunit 2, with no coding region annotated. The transcript is spliced from 7 exons. The record is from RefSeq and is a predicted model, not a curated record. Lineage: Eukaryota; Viridiplantae; Streptophyta; Magnoliopsida; Caryophyllales; Amaranthaceae.
ACAGAGUAAGUGAGAUUUUCUUCAACCUAUCUUCUUCAACCUAAUUUCAGUUUUCUGACGGAAAUUUUUUCAUACAAUCAGCAAGUUUGCUUGGGAAACGUGAAUAUUAGAUUGAAAUCUCGUUUCCCAUUCGUUUCCGGGAUGAAUUCAGUUUCAAACACGUCUCUAUUUUUCUGAAACGGUUUCGGCGCGCGUUUCCCGGUUUCCCCGUUCCAGGACGUUUCGGAAACGAUCUAGAGAGGAUGAACAGCAUUGAACAUAGGGCGGUUAGCAAUAGCAGAGGAAGACGACUUAACCGAGAUGAAGAUGAGGAUGAUGAAGAUGAAGAUAAUGAUAUGUCUGCAUGGGAGAAAGCCUAUACCGAUGAGAGAUCAUGGGAAUCUUUGCAAGAAGAUGAAUCUGGGCUACUUCGUCCAAUUGAUAAUACGUCGAUCUACCAUGCUCAAUAUCGUCGGCGUAUUCGUUCCAUCUCGUCUACCUCAACCUCUGCUCGAAUUCAGAAAGGCCUUAUUCGCUAUAUCUAUGUCGUCAUGGAUUUCUCAAGGGCAGCAGCGGAGAUGGAUUUUAAACCAAGCAGAAUGGCCGUUGUUGCCAAACAUGUAGAGGCUUUUGUAAGGGAGUUUUUUGACCAAAAUCCACUUAGUCAAAUUGGUCUUGUGGCAAUUAAAGACGGUGUUUCUCAUUGCCUAACGGAUAUGGGUGGUAGCCCGGAGUCUCAUAUUAAGGCUUUGAUGAAGAAGUUGGAGUGUUCAGGGGAUGCGUCUUUACAGAAUGCCUUAGAACUUGUUCAUGAAUGCUUGAAUCAAAUUCCAUCAUAUGGCCACCGUGAAGUUAUAAUUUUGUAUUCGGCUCUUAGUACCUGUGAUCCAGGUGACAUAAUGGAGACUAUUCAAAAGUGCAAGAAGUCGAAGAUUAGGUGUUCAAUACUGGGUCUUUCUGCAGAGAUGUUUAUUUGCAAACACAUAUGCCAGGAAACAGGUGGAUCAUAUGCUAUUGCCUUGGAUGAGUUCCAUCUGAAAGAGUUGUUGUUGGAACAUGCACCUCCUCCUCCAGCCAUCGCUGAGUAUGCAAUUGCUAACUUGAUCAAGAUGGGUUUUCCACAAAGAGCAGCGGAAGGCGUGGUCUCAAUAUGUGUAUGUCAUAAAGAGGCUAAGGUUGGUGCUGGAUACACCUGUCCGAAAUGCAAGGCUCGUGUUUGUGAGCUGCCCACAGAAUGUCGUAUAUGUGGGCUAACACUUGUUUCUUCUCCCCAUUUAGCAAGGUCAUAUCAUCAUCUCUUUCCAAUAACACCGUUUGAUGAGGUAUCUUUUCCAAACAGAAAGAUUGCCGGACAGAAAUCAUAUGAAACAUGCUUUGGAUGCAUGCACAAUCUGAUGGAUCCUGGGACUGGAUCUGGUUACUGUGUUACGUGUCCGAAAUGCAAAAAGUAUUUCUGCCUUGAUUGUGACAUUUAUAUUCAUGAAAGUUUGCAUAAUUGCCCCGGCUGCGAGAGUUUAAGACAUUCCAAUUCAAUCAAUGCUGGUGGAUGAUGAAAGACCUGUACGAUCUGUUUGUCCCUCUGAUGAGCGAUUUUUUCUUCAAAUUUUUACUCGGAGGCAAAAUCGUACAACCAAGUCAAUUAUCGUGUUCUAAGGAGAGGUCAUAAGCCUCAAGUUCAAGAAUGAAGAGUAAGCCAUUGAAAGUUCCAGCACUGGCUGCACAUUCCUAUCUUCACUUGAGUUUUUAUGGUUAAGUUGGCCGUUUCGUAGGCAUAUUUGAUUGGUUUGGGUAACUCUUCCUAGAAAGUGUAGUGGAGCUGAAUACUGUUGUUCUUGUGUAGGACUUGUGUUGGCUAGGCUUGGGAGUAUUUUUUUGUCAGUAUCUCAUCUUCCAGGUUGUAUUAAAUUGUUUAAAUUAUUAAUAAAAAUUAUUUAAUUGCCAAAAAUUAAAAUAUUUCAGAAAGCUAUUGAGCUUAAAGUUCGAUGCAAAUCUUUAGCAGUCAGCAUUGUGUUGGGCGUUACUGAUUUCUGCGAAAGGUGCGAGCAAUGACCUGUAGAGGUCGUGACCAUGUUAUAACUUCUCGGUGAGGCUGGUUACUUUGACUCUAGGUUACAGGGUAUAUAGUGAUCAGGCUAAUAGUCUGGUUGUGAUACUUGUGAACAAAAUAAGUUCAGGCAACCGAUUAAGAAGACUAUGAAGGGAGCGAGUUCUGCAUUUGAAUCUGAGAAAGGAAAACAGAAGGAGAUUAGGAGGUAAUUUGGGGUAAUUUGAGGGAAUGAGGAAUUCGAUUGAAGGAGCUUCGAAGCUGCUAAAGACAUAAACCAGUAAGAUGGAAAUGAGAAAGUAGUCAGAAAUUUCUGGGAUGAACAGGGAAUGAAAGGACUUACUGACAACAUGAUUGCCUGUUGUUUCUUAGGUUUAUCAUGAAGGAAUAUGUCCUUUAAUCAAGAUGGCAAUCACUAAAUAUAGAUUAGGAUUAAUAAUGGAGAUUAAUAAUCCGGUUAUUUAGGUGGUCAUAAUAUUUUGCUAGAAACCAAUUAUGAUCUGUGGGCUAAUUAUUAUUGGGCUACUACUAACAUAACCGGGUCCUAUAAGGUCACACACAAUAGAGUAUUGGAUAUGAUCAAUAUGACCCAAGGCCCAUGAUGGUCUUUGGUGUUGGAUAGGAUUUUGGAGUAGUUAAGGUUUACUAGGAUACUAGGUUCCCUAGUUCUAGUAGGAUUGGUUUAUCAAGUUAUUAUAUAUAGACGUGAUGACCAUAUGAUUGAAAAAAAGUUGAAUAAAUUAUUAACCUUAUUCAAUACUCCAAAUCCGUCCCUUCCUUGUGAAAGUGAGAGAGAGAUUUCCAUCUUCUCCAUCCGUUCUAGCAAACGACGCAAGGAGAUCUUGAUCCGUGCUCGUGUGGACUAAGUAGAGGAAUCACGCUUGGGGUUCUGUCCCCGAAUUGGUCCUUGUUCGUAUACUCGGGAAUCACGCAUCAAAGGUAUAUUUAACUCCUAUAUUAUGAUUCAUAUUAAUGUAUGCUUGCGAUCCUGUUAGAUGUGAGAAAAGUGUUUUCUGCGAUUCCGCUAUUAGCAUCUAAUCUUACAGUGGUAUCAGUUAGCUCCUUGCAUACGUUAAUUUUGAUCAUGAUUAAAGUUUUAAUUUUGAUGCAUAUUCUUGAUUAUUUUUGAUUCAAUACGACAGAAAAUAGUAUAUGGAUUAAUAUGGAAAAUUAAAAUAUUGAUUUUAAUUGUUUGGGUUGUGUAAAAUAUUGAUCUUAUACAACGAACUCUCGUCAAAACAUGUCUGCUAUAUGAAUUCGAAAUUUAUGGCUAAAUAAUCUGAUUAUUUAGCUUAUUAUUUUCAACUUGUACCUGAUUUAUGCCCAAAACAUUGAUUAAUUGUGCACAAAAUCGUUUUAUGCCCAAUUUUUCUAUGAACCCUAAUUUUAUGAAAGUUACACACCCCAAAUUCAAUCAAAUUGUUGUUUGAAAUCUUACCAAUUCACGCAAAUUGUUGCGCGAAUCUAGUGGGAGAAGCGGGAUUGGGCGCGGCUUGCUUCCGGGGGCAAGGUUGUCGGGGUUGUCGAGCAAGGCUGCACAAACCCGGAAGCCAGUGGGCUCGCGCAACUGUUGCGUGGAUGCUUGGUGGUGACUCCGGCCGUUUUCUGCGAUGGUGGCUGCGGCGUUUUCACCUGUGAUAACGUGCCGGUAUCGCUGACGAACGGGUGACAUGACAGGCUGGUGGUCGGAGGUAAUAGGUGAUAAGUUGGUUGCUGAUAUUGUUUCGGUGCUGCAUCUUACUUCGAAUAUCGUAUACCCAAAAAAUCGCCUAACUUAAUCAAUGCUCGGAUUAUACAGGGGUGUGCACGGUGCUCUCGUGCACCUGCCCAAAAACGCACAAAAUAAAAAUAAAACGCAACAAACAUAAAAAUCGCAAAAAAAGAUAGAAAAGAACAGAGAAAAUAAAUCAGAAAAGAACAUUAACAAGUAAAGUAAAAGAACAUUAGCAAAAAACCAAAAAGAACAGUAAUAUUGACAAAUCAGACAAAAGGUACAAAUAUAAAAAGCAGUUAUAUUUUUUCUUGUUCUUUUAAGUUCUGGAAAUGUUCUUUUCCAACCAAUUUACAGUAUGUUCUAAUUAAAAAUAAAACGACGAACCUUUGAUGAACUUUAAAACCAAAUUUAUAUUUUUUCUUGUUCUUUUAAGUUCUGGAAAUGUUCUUUUCCAACCAAUUUAUAUUCUAAUUCAAAAAUAAAACGACGAACCUUUGAUGAACUUUAAAACCAGAUCUAUAUUUUUUCUUGUUCUUUUAAGUUCUGGAAAUGUUCUUUUUUAACCAAUUUAUGCUCUAAUUCCGUUGUUUUAUUUAUCAAAAAAAUAUCUGAAAACAUCACUAUAAUAUGUAAAAAGAACAAUUGCUGAUUCUAAAAAAGAACACACUAUUUUGAUGCCAUAGAAAUAGAAAGUUAUAAGAAAAGAACAUUAAAAUUUAAAAAGAACAUAGAAUUAAGAACGAGAAAAUUUACCUUAAUCACCCGAUGCACCUUUAUCAACAUCAUAAACUUCUUUGAAUGAAUAAAAAAAUUUCAAAAAAUAGCGAAAUUGAAAUAGUAUUUCGCUUAAUAAACUAGUUUUUUGUAAACGUAAUUCAAUUAAAAUCACAUUUCAGAGAAAGGAGGAGAAAAUUUGUUUUGAACUUUCUCUCUCAUAAAAUCUCUCUUUUGUUGGGAGAAACUAAAAGCUCUCCUCUUUCUCUAUCAAGAAUGUGUUUCUAAAAUGAGAAGUUAUGAAUCCAAUAGGAGAAAUAUUAUAUAUAUAGAAAAUGAAAAAUAAAAGAAAUAAAAAAAAGAGGGGGAAGGAGAAGAAAUACAAGCCAUGUUCAUGAUAAGAACGGUGCACUUGUUUUUUUUUUUUUGGGUUUUGUUGUUCUGUUCUUUUAUGUUUAUUAGAUAUAAAUCUUAAUGUUCUUUUAUGUUUGUUCUUUUUUCAAAAAGUACAGUAUUGAAGAGCAAAGGAAGCUUUUACUUGACCAGCAACAAAUGAUGUUAAAUCUUCAAAAACAGCUAAAAGAACAAGAAGAGAGGCUGAAUAAACAGAGCAAUUCAUCAAAAGAACAAAAAGAGGAUGAACCUCAAAGAACAUAUAAAUAAAAGAACAUUAUAAAUAAAGAAAAAAAACAUUAUAAAUACAGAAAAGAACAUAUCAUGUAGAACACUUAUUUUAACCAUGUAAAACAACAUUACCAAUAAAAAAACGAACAACAACAGAGCAUCAAAGAACAUAAUAAAGUAAAGAAAAAGAACAUUAUAAAUAACAGAAAAGAACAUAUCAUGUAGAACACUUAUUUUAACCAUGUGAAAAAAGAACAACAAAAAAGAUAAAAGAACAACAAAAAUGGUAAAAGAACAAUUUGAUCUGAAGUGUGUAAUAUCAAAAGAACAACAAGCUAAAGCAAAAAAGAACAAUAAGCUAAAGCAUAAAAGAACAACAAGCUAAAGCAAAAAAGAACAACUUGUUCAAUAAUUAUUUUCUGUAUUAUUACGAUAUCUUAAUACAUAUAUGAGAACCAAUAUAUAAAAAAACAAAAGAUAAGACUAAAAGAACAUAUAAAAUCGAAAAAAGAACAGAAAUCAAAAUCAUCAGAAAUAUAUAAUCAAGAUACAUAAAUCAAGGUUAUUGAGAAAUGCAGAAAUCGAAAUGAUAAAAAAAAAUCAAAAUAAAUUGAAAUGACGAAAAUAAUGAACAUGGAAAUCAAAAUCAUCAUAAAUAAGUAAUUCGUUUUUUAAAAAUUGAAAAAUUACCUUCACAAAUCGGAUUAUCAACAGAGGAAUCAAAUUUGAAGAAGAAUCAAUAGAAUUUGAUAUUGAAGUAGAAAAAUCAACCAAUAUCUGAGAAUUUUCCAUUACUUUCUCUCUCAUUUUCACAGUUUCUCUUUCCUUUCCAUAGUUUUUCUCUCUCCUCUUCACAAAUUCUGAUUCGAAAAUUAUAAAAAAGAAGGUAUAUAUACCAGAAAAAUGGAGCGAAAAACAAAAGAGCGACAAAAAAGGGACAGAGCAGUCAUUGUUCUUUUUUUUAAACAAAAGAACAACGUUUGUUCUUUUUUUUUAUCAAAAAAACGUUUGUUCUUUUCUUCUCCGGAUUCAACAAGAUAUCCGUGUUUUAUAUAUGACGCGUGUCGUUUGGACACCGGUGCACCAAGAGCACCAUACACACCCCUGCACAAUCGUAUUUGCGUAACUUAACAUGGACUUGGUUUUGUCUUUUGUCAUUAUUAUCAAACUACUCCAUGUAACCUUUUUUUUUAUCAAUUCCAUAUGCUAUUACCAUUGAAUCAAAAUAAUAAGAUUGUUUUAAAUUAAUUAAUUUAGGUAAGUUAGGCUAAUUAAUUAAAAAUAAGAUAAUUAUCAAUAUGAUUAAUAGUUUAUUAAGGUCAUUUACUUUAAUUAAGUAAAUGAAUGAAUGCCAAUAUUAUGAUAUUAUAUGAUAUGCGUGUAUGGAAUAUAUGAUAUUUUGUUACAGGCACGUGACUAGUAUGACCCAAAAUAGGAUAGAAAAUACGAUAUGCGUAUCGUUUUGUAUUCUUGUAAUUUUUAAAUACGAUCUGCGCAUCGUUUGUAUUAUUGUAAUUUAAGGUUUUAAAUUAGAUUAUAAAUACACUAUUGUAAGCACAAUGGAGCAAGAAGGUCCAAUCAAGAUUCAAGGAUGGUGAUCCAAGAAAGAUGAACAUGAACUUUUGAAGAUUUGAUCUAAAAGGGCCAUAAUAGGAUCACAUUUAUUUUAUGCAUUUUGUAUUGCCUUAAAAUGCUUAUCUAAGUUUAUGUAUGUUGCUAGUUUAUGUCAUUAGUUCACUAGUAAACGAACUAACAUAGUAAUACUUAGGUUCCUUAAAAGAAAAUUGAGGUAAUGUCUUUCCAAAUCAUAACCUAUGAGGCCUUGGGGAAUAUGGAAGAUAGUUUCUGCUAAAGCGGGGUGUCUUUUCAUUGACCUUAGGAUAGUACGGGUAAAUCUAUAUAAGGGGUUUAUAGCCUUGAUUUGGUUGCACUCAACAAAAUCAUCAAAAGAUAAAGUUUUGGAUUUUGAGGCAUAGAAAUAAGUUAACAUAAGAUGUAACCUAUUAACCAAGAGUUAUAAAUGGUAUAAUUAGUAAAGGGGUUUACUUACCUUGACCACAAUGAAUUUUAGGGAAGUGCUAAAGUACGCUUAAAACCUUGUGGAAUGGGGUCUUGGAAUCAUUUUAUUCACAAGGGACAAAAUAAUUUGAAUAAAAUGCACAUUAGCUUAUGUAUGUUUAAAGCAUGUUUAAUUUUUCUUAAGCUUUUGUAUGACAAACAUGAUUUUAAAUUUUGCAAAUUUUCUAUUGUAGAUAUUAUGACUAACAACCAACCUAUCAUCAAUAUUCGUUCGCUCCUUGAGAAGGACAAGUUGAACGGAAACAACUUCCUUGAUUGGGAAAGGAAUCUAAGAAUUGUGCUUAGAUCCGAAGGAAGAGAGGAUGUCCUUGAGACCCCUAUCCCAACUCUGAGCGCCACAGCAACUGAUGCUGAAAAGGCUGAUCAGAAAGCUAUAAAAGAGAAGUCAGUAGUUGUCACUUGCCUUAUGCUAGCUUCCAUGGAAUCAAAGCUUCAAAAGAGGUUUGAUUUAAUGGAUGCUUACACCAUCAUUGCUACUCUUAAAAGUAUGUUUGUGGAGCAAGAAAGGGUGGGGAGGUAUGAUACCCAUAAGGCAAUUCUUGAGUCCAAACUCGAGGUGGGUAAGCCAGUCGGUCCUCAUGUGUUCAAUAUGAUUGGACAUUUUGAGAACAUGGAAAGACUUGGAUUCCCAUAUGGUCAAUAGUUGGCCACUGACAUCAUUCUGCACUCUUUACAUGAUGGCUUUUCUCAGUUUAGGCUAACUUCAAUAUGAAUGGAGAUUCAAAAACUCUUGAAGAAUUACAUGGAAUGCUUAAAACUGUUGAGAAAAACAUAAUUGUUGAACCUAAGAAGGAAGUUCUCAUGGUCAACAAGGGAAAAGGGUUCAAGAAAGGGGCCGCUGGAAAGAAGAAGAAGCAUGUUCAAGGGAAGGGAAAAGAAGUUGCUCAUCCUAAGGCAAAAACUUCUGAAAAGGCUAGAGUAGUUGCUGACAGCGAUUGUUUCUACUGCAAUGCAAAAGGGCAUUGGAAAAGGAAUUGCCCAAAGUUCCUGGAAGACAAAAAAAAAUGGAACUGUAGCUUCCACUUCAGGGACUAAGAAGAAGUAGGAGCUUGGCUAAGGGAGAGGUAGACCUACGCGUUGGAAAUGGUGCAAAGGUUGCAGCCCUCGCAGUAGGAUAUUAUAGUCUAUCUUUACCAUCUGGUUUAGUGUUAGAAUUAAAUAAUUGUUAUUUUGUUCCUGCAAUUACCAAAAACAUCAUUUCAGCUUUCGUUUUGGAUUAUGAAGGUUUUACAUUCGUUAUAAAGAAUAAAUGUUGUUCUAUUUAUAAGGAUGAUAUGUUUUAUACCACUGCUAAAUUGUUGAAUGGGCUUUAUAUGCUA